RNAcentral lists this long non-coding RNA (238 nucleotides) under Homo sapiens (human). RNAcentral describes it as "non-protein coding lnc-SF3B1-3:1". Lineage: Eukaryota; Metazoa; Chordata; Mammalia; Primates; Hominidae. The record is from RNAcentral.
CGCGAAGAGAACCAGGUAUGGAGAAGUGGGAUGAAAGGCGAUGUGAUGGGACAGUAGAUGAGAGAAUGUUUGACCUUGAGGCCAGUCUGUUCUCGGGAGGGGCUGUGUGCUGGCGUAGGCUGAGGCAGGACAGCAUUUAGGAGCUUGGGGGAAGGAGGGCAGCUGAACCAAGGUGUGCUGAACAAGCAUUUUGUUCUGAUCGAUCAGUGUAGAGAAGCAGUAGGGUCUGGCCUUGUUA